Molecule: small RNA, 80 nt
Filed under: Flavobacterium segetis
Lineage: Bacteria; Pseudomonadati; Bacteroidota; Flavobacteriia; Flavobacteriales; Flavobacteriaceae
Description: Flavo-1 RNA
Rfam family: Flavo-1 RNA
Source: RNAcentral
CCCUAGCCCAGAUAGAAGGGAAAAUCCUUUUUUAUUCGCCGCGGCGGACAAACAAGAUUGGAAUGAUAGCUGGAAAUAGC